This is a long non-coding RNA of Tarenaya hassleriana, 437 nucleotides long. RefSeq lists it as uncharacterized. NCBI's taxonomy places the organism in Eukaryota, Viridiplantae, Streptophyta, Magnoliopsida, Brassicales, Cleomaceae. The transcript is spliced from 2 exons. The record is from RefSeq and is a predicted model, not a curated record.
GGAUGGGUGGGUGGUAGUGUAGGUUCUACACAGUGCAGAGGGUAAAUACAAGAACACUAAUACUGAAACGUAUACAAAGGGUGUGUCCGUGUAAUGUUGCCUUUUACAAAAACCCUCUGCACCUGGAUAUGAAGAGCAGGCCUGUGAUAAAGACAAAAAGAGACAAGGCCUGGAUCUGGAAAAGAAUACCCUAAAUCUAGUGAAGAUCCACUAUGGUCCAACUGAGAACCCUAAGUGGACACGUGGCACAUGGAGGAUUGUAAAUGUGUGAGACGGACAAGUGGUGCCAUCCACCAAACUAUCAUUUUUGUUUAAUGAUUGGUACAAAUCUGUCAAAAUCCACAAAGGACCCUUUGUUUUUUUUCUUUUGGCGUUUCUUCUGUCUCUAUCCGUUUUGGAAUUUUGUGGAAACUAGGGAAUACCUUUUUUUGUGUGUG